CGCGACCCCAGGUCAGGCGGGGCUACCCGCUGAGUUUAAGCAUAUCAAUAAGCGGAGGAAAAGAACUAACGAAGAUCCCCCUAGUAACGCGAAAAAACUAGUUAUUCUAGC
RNAcentral lists this ribosomal RNA (111 nucleotides) under Acacia aphanoclada. Its description in RNAcentral is "partial large subunit ribosomal RNA". It matches the Rfam family "Eukaryotic large subunit ribosomal RNA", at positions 1 to 113 of the family's 3401-position model. The record is from RNAcentral. Lineage: Eukaryota; Viridiplantae; Streptophyta; Magnoliopsida; Fabales; Fabaceae.